AUUUGAGGCAUUGGAGGAAACCAAACCUUGUGCUGUGCUGUGCUGUGCUGUGCUGUGCAUGCAGCUGGAGAUUUGAUUCCCGCCAGCACUCACCUUCAGCUUCCAAAUUCUUCGGACAAGUCAUGUCUAAGCUGCUGCACUGCACCAGUGCACACUGUACACCUUACACACCAUCUGAUCAACUGAACAUGAGAAAUUGGAGGAAACCAAGUCUUGGCUUGCUCUUGCCGUCAGAUUUGGUUCCAUCCAAUUCUCGUAUUCGGUUGCCAAAGUUUCGGCUCCAGAGUUCUCACCAUAACCAAGAUAAACUCAUCGCAUGUACUUGGUUCUACAAUGGCUACCGAUAGAGGCGCUGAAGAUAAGAUGUUGGAGAAAACUGAA
Molecule: unclassified non-coding RNA, 381 nt
Filed under: Zea mays
Lineage: Eukaryota; Viridiplantae; Streptophyta; Magnoliopsida; Poales; Poaceae
Description: misc RNA Zm00001eb261290
Source: RNAcentral